UGGGGAAUAUUGGACAAUGGGCGCAAGCCUGAUCCAGCAAUGCCGCGUGUGUGAAGAAGGCCUUCGGGUUGUAAAGCACUUUUAUCAGGAGCGAAACGCUGUCGGCUAAUACCCGGCGGAACUGACGGUACCUGAGGAAUAAGCACCGGCUAACUUCGUGCCAGCAGCCGCGGUAAUACGAAGGGUGUAAGCGUUAAUCGGAAUUACUGGGCGUAAAGCGUGCGUAGGCGGUUUCUUAAGUCUGCUGUGAAAUCCCCGGGCUCAACCUGGGAAUGGCAGUGGAUACUGGGAGGCUAGAGUGUGUCAGAGGGUGGUGGAAUUCCCGGUGUAGCGGUGAAAUGCGUAGAGAUCGGGAGGAACAUCAGUGGCGAAGGCGGCCACCUGGGACAACACUGACGCUGAGGCACGAAAGCGUGGGGAGCAAACAGGAUUAGAUACCCUGGUAGUCCACGCCCUAAACGAUGCGAACUGGACGUUGGUUGCUCAACUCGGAGAUCAGUGUCGAAGCUAACGCGUUAAGUUCGCCGCCUGGGGAGUACGGUCGCAAGACUGAAACUCAAAGGAAUUGACGGGGUCAUAGCUGUUUCCUG
This 590-nucleotide ribosomal RNA is filed under the name uncultured bacterium. RNAcentral describes it as "partial 16S ribosomal RNA". It matches the Rfam family "Bacterial small subunit ribosomal RNA", at positions 355 to 1376 of the family's 1533-position model. The record is from RNAcentral.